This is a long non-coding RNA of Taeniopygia guttata (zebra finch), 4794 nucleotides long. NCBI's taxonomy places the organism in Eukaryota, Metazoa, Chordata, Aves, Passeriformes, Estrildidae. The record is from Ensembl.
GAGAGAGAGAGAGAGAGAGAGGGGGAGCGAGACCUCCGCUGGCCCCGCGAACUUGUCAAGCAGAAGAGUGACCAAGUGGUCUUCUCCACAGCAGCCAUGAACUUCAACCUUGAACUGAAGAAGACUCAUCAAAUGGAGUUUUAGAGUGGUCAUUAUACUUUUCCAAUUUAUUUCCUUCCUUCAUUCUGGAAUCCAGCAACAAAUAAACCCCUCUGAUUUCAAGUUUGCCUUUUAACUGAGAAAUACACAAGUUAAAAAUGUAAUGCAAUAUCAAUAGAAAGGGUAAACAGAGCAUUGUGGAUGCUAUUUAUAGAAAAUAAACUGGGUUUUGCAUAUUAUUAAAAACUAUUCCCUAAUUUGGGAUAUUGGAAUCCAGGCAGUAAGAUUAGGAUUUUAAGGUGAUGCUUUAAAAAUCACUAUGCUUAAUCUAAAAAAAAAAAAAAAUAAAUCAAAAAACCAACCAACCCAACUGAAAAACCCACAAAAGUGCAGGUAUGCUGAAUAGACUGAUUAGACUUGAUGUGGCUGUUUUAUAGAGCUGUGUAUCAUUGAACUUUUUUUAAGCCUUAGGAAAGACAGUAUGGAGCUGGAAGAGAAGCAGGGAUCUUCAUGAAGGGCAGUCAGUUAUAGUUAUGGUGUGUGGAGGAACAGGUCCUGUUCUUGCUGUUGUUACUCCCACAUAGGCAGACUCUGUAAUUGAUUAUGUGUGGGUAGGGCCCUAUUGAAAUUCAGGAGAUUCUGCAGUAGUGUGGGGUUCUUAUUGUGAAAGUUCAGUUGCAAGAUCAGGACCCUACUGUGACUACUUACUGUGCGUUCUGUCACUGUCUCAUUGAUUGUACUGGAACCUGCCUAUUGGGAUAAUUACCAAAUACUAUAUUCCUCAAAACUUCUUAAUGGCACUGAGGCUUUGUGGAUAGUUGGUCACAUGAUGAGAAAAUUCAGCUGUGAUUCACCAUGGGACCCUGAAGUUCUUCCUUACUGCAAUUAGACUGCCGGAGUUCAUGAUUCCUGAGAAGUAACACCUUGAAGUUCUGGCACUAUCUUCUACAAAGUAGCUUACACUGAGCUGGCUUCCUGUUACUGUGUCAAUGAAACAUCAAAUGUUGAUACUAUGUGUGAAACAACAUUUGAUAUUAUGGCUAUUAAGCUACUUGAAAAAAUUCUAUACAGAUGGUUUUUAUGUUUACAAGACCUUGCAUUUAAAAAUGUAUGUCAUGGAUGCAGGUAAUAAAUAUUGUUUAUGAAUUGUUACAGGAUAGAAAAUACUUAUAAUUGUGUAAAAUAUGUUAGUCUUAGCUCUUGCUAUUUUUAUCUCCUAAAUAUCUUAUAAUAAGGUGGUUAUAAAUAUCUAAAGAUAUGAAUCAUUUAAUUUGUUGAAGCACAGUGUGCGUCAUUUAGAAUGGUGGUAAAGGAGAAAAGUGGACAUGCCCUUCUCAUAACAGCUAAACAUGAAAAGAAGUUAUCAGAGAUAAUGAUAUAAUUCAAAUUUAUAGAAAUUGUUAUGUUUUGCUGUAUAAGCAUAGCUCUUUACAAAAUGAUGAUCUCAUCCUAAGGUUACAGUUACCUAAAUAGAUUCAUUGCUGAACUUUAUUCUAGUGUUUUUAUAUCUUUGCUGGAAGUAAGAGAACACAAACAUUUAAAAUUUAAAUUAUUGAUCUUCAGCCAUGCUACAACUUUCAGAACUUAGUGUUUAACCCCAGGAUUUGAUCCAUAGCUCUUUUAAAUUCUGGAAUUCCAGAAACUGUUCAGGUGAGUAGGAAAAAGCAUAGAAAGAAACUGAAAUGGGGAGAAGGAAAUCAUUAUCCUUUACAAAAGAAAAGAUGAAAAAAAGUUAAUGAGCAUAGGAAAAAUAAUAGGGUGAAAGAGAGGAUUCAGGUGAGUACUUCCAGUAAUAUUUUUUAUAUUGUGCUCAGAUAUGUUAUGCUUUGUGCUUACAUGGAAAACAGACUGAGACUUCAGCUUUCUAACUGCUGUUCUGAGCUGUACUUUACUCCCUGUGCAUUUUUAUUUUAGCACAGUCGCUUCUAAGGAAGGCUUUAAAUUGGCUUUCAGGGCCAACCUGAAUCACACAGUUCAUUAUCCUGCUGAAAUGAUGACUACCCCAAUGUUUGUCUUCCCAAGUUAGUAUUAAAAACCUGCUAUUAGACAUGAAAAAAAUCAGAGCCAUUUUAAAAAUAUAUGUUACUCUUAAUUCUAGUCACUAGCAUUUGGGAAAAGGGACAAGCAGGCACUCAGUAACAGUAAAGAGUGUCAGAAUUUCUAUGGGAAACCUAAUUGUAAUAAUAUUGAAAUUGAAAAUAAAACCUGCUAAUUAGAUGUUACUCAGCAGGAUUAGGAAAAGUCAAUCAAUUCAUAACCAAAUGUAGCUGUAGAACAAUGGAUUACUUACCUUGGCACUCAUUACAGGUUAGACAUCAGUGUGGAUUUCAUCCAUAAGCUGUAAUAAAAUAAAAUAAGUUAGGAAAUUGCAAAAAAAAAAGGUUCAUUCAGUAAUUUGUCCAUAGAUGUUCUUAGUUUCUGCAUGAUUUCCAUAAGUAUAUACAGUAUUAUAGCAAGAGUAUAUAUUUAGGGAAAUCCUAUACUUUUUAAACUAAGCAAUUAACAAAUAUUCAUACAGUGACUAUAACUGGUUUCAUGAAUUACCACGCAAAAAACCCAUUUUACUACAGGGAUAAGGAUCUCCCAUUUUUUGUACAUUCAUGCAGUGGUAUGCAUAAAACAUUUUAACUGUUCACCUGAGCAACACUUCAGUGUAACUGAGCCCUGAGCUGGUGGAUGGCAGAAUAACAUCCUCUCUAAAAGGGGACAGAGAGUGAAAAUGGGUGGGGCAGGGAGAGGUCUUAUGGUGCCAGUUCACAAUUAAUUUUGGAAUGUAAAGAUAUGAAUACCAAAAAAUUAACAUAACUAUACUCUUCAGUUUAAAAAGAAAAUGAAAUUAAAUACAGAUAGAAUUUUUAGAAGUUCUAAAUAAGAGACUUUUUGGUCUAUUUUAUGGUUAAGCCCUUGCCAUUUUGUUGUUUUGUAUUCAUGUUACACUAUUUAAUGUUGCAUGAUUGGUUUAGAUCAUGUAAAUCCCAUUUCAAGUAUAUUUAAAUUUUAAAGACGUCUUUUUAAUUGCAUUGUAACUGGCAACUCUGUGUUGUCCUCAUGUAAUAGGCAGUAUCAAGAUGAGUGUAUUCUGAAAUAGUUAAUAGUGGAAGACCACUCCAAUCCCAGCACUAUGUCUCUCAGAUUUUCCAUAUUGACAAGGAAGAACCAACAGUGAGUGGUCCAUUUGGUACCUUCCAGCCCCCAGAUCACUGCCCAGGAGGAAAGUCACUUUCCCAUUCCCUUCUCUGAUCAUUUAUGCUUUGGUACUGCUGUUCUGUAAGGACACAGUCUUGGCUUUGCAUCUGGGCUGGCAAGCUGGUGAAGGUGGUAUGAAGAGGUUGUUUCCACAGACCAGUUCCACACUGAAGUUUCCUGCACACACUGGGCUGUAUACCAACUUUAAAACCAGACCUUCCCCAUGACUCUUUUAUUUAAUUAUAGUUAGUUUAAAAUAACUAUUAUGUCUCCAUGACCAUGACAUUGGAUUUCAGCAUUUUUUCACAGCAGUAUUUACUGUAUUUAGUAACAAAUUACUGAAAUAUCAGCCAUGCUAUUUUAAGAAUGAGUUAAAUGUGAUAUUUAAUUAAUUGUGUCUUAAAGUUUGGAAUAGAGAAUCCCAGUAAUAUUAAGCUUAAAUUUUUAAUUACAGCAGAUAAACUUAAAGCCCAAUAGUAUAUAAUUAGUUCUAACAGAAAAGCAAACUUCCUUUUAUUUGGGUCAGACUUAAUUUUUGUGCUCAGUGUAGUGCACACAAGUACUGCUCAGUAAUAAAAAAUAUUAUGCAGCACAGACCUAUUACAUGUUCUGUGCAGAUGAAAGUCAUUAGUAAAGUUUCCUUGUUCAGAUUAAAGGAAGUUGAAAAUAUGCUGAAUCACUUAUUAUUUUAAUCCAGAUGUUUUUAUCCAUAAAUAUUAAUCUCAAAGAUAAAAUGCUAGCUUAAUAAAUACUAGUAAACUUCACAAAAUUAAUUACAUUUUAAAUAUGUGAUUCAGAGUCUAGUAUUCAAAUCUUAGGAUGGGAUGAAUCGCCCUCUGGAGGUGCCCAUUUUAGUUUGCUGACUUCACAGGACUCCUGCUCUGAAGUGACUAGUUCAAACUAAAAGUUGACUGGCCUAUCACCUUCAUUGAGAAAUAACUGAACAUUUCGUACCCCAGUAGAUCUUGUCGUUAGACCUCUCUAAGAAUGGCUGCCUUAUUCCUCACCUUUUCUGUCAGUGUUCUUGUACUGUUUCUAAUAUGAAUAAACACAAGUGUUACUGCUACCAUUUCCUGUAUAUUGUUUUUUCCUGUCCUUUUCAAUCUUGUUAUCUUAUCUUUCCCUGUUUUUUUUUUCUUUUUUUUUUUUUUUGUUUUAUUUUUCUUGACUCUCUACAGCUGCCAUCUUUUCUGAAGCUUUUCAUUUGCUACCUCUCUGACAAUCCUACUUUCCAUGUUGAAAGUAUUAUCCUAACUUCUGAUGUGGAAGAUUGCCGGCCCUUUCUUUGAAUGCUGAUACCAGUAUUUUCUUGACUAAUAGUAUUGUAAUGAAGACAUAGAAAAAGAAGACUAUGGUACUCAUGAGGUUUUUUAUGGUUUGUGUAGUCAAAAAAUAUUGUUUUUAUGCCUUCAUAUAAAAUGUGUUGGUUUCCCAAUGUAACUGUAACUUAAAGAUGUUUGUAGAAAUGUAAAAUUAAAUGUGAAUAGUAUAAAAUCCACAUUAAAGACA